UCCGCAUUCCAGCCUCAGGAAAAACAGUCCGGAACAUAAUAAAAGGCCGAGCUCGUCAUUUGUUUUUAAAUCCACUUGCUCUGCUGGAACAAAGCUGUGCUGAGGGGCAGGACUGAGCCGAUGUGUCUGUGCACACGAGAAAGAGACAGCGAGAGAGGGAUGUGUGUUUGUGUUGACGUGAGUCUGUGUGCAUGUGGGUUUCCCUUGUUUUUCUCUGUGGUAAUGACAGCGUGACGGGCUCAACCACCAGCAACACACCGCGUGGCCUCCGCCCGACCACACAACCUGAAACACAUGCGUGGAGGAGAAAAGCACCGCCGGCCACCUAUAGGUCCUCAUUUGUGCCAUCUGUCUCUCAUUAUUGGCAUUUUGUCCAACUUGUCUCAUUUCUCACACUCCAGGUCACAGACGAAUCCCCAGACCCGCCGUGACCUUGUUUGUGCCGCCCGCCGUUCAAACAUAUACGCCCUGGACACACGAAGACCGAGAGACACCAGCACAUCUUUUAAUUAUCAUCGCACAGCUGAUAAGUGGUAGCACUGGUCAUAUUCAAGUCUCUGAUAGAAGUGGUCGGGUUGAAGGUCAGGCCAGUUUUAAUGGAGUGUUUUUGACCAUGGUGCGUCCUUGGUCAGAGAGCCUCUCGACCUCUGCAUCCGGCCUGGAACAAUAUCACUUUCAUUCCCCAUCCUUCCACUACAUUUGCCGCAACCCCCCCACUCCGUCUCGAGGUUGUGCUGUAACUGAUACUGGGAGCUUCCGACCAGCCAAUCCAUAGCGCCGCUGACCUCAUCCUGUCCUCUCCGCCCCGCCACCGGUCCCAUCAGCUCCUCAGGAAGCUAAUAAUCUCCUUCCUGCGUUCGACACAGAGCGUGGCGGCCGAGCGGAGCCCAUGGGGGUCUCGGUGUUGUAAUCCACACCUGGACCGGCGCCAAGCACGUCUGCAGACACCUGCGUCAGACCGGCUGAGAAAAACAAGUCAAAAACACAGAUCCCACCCCCUUCAUCCCUCGGCUCCCUCUCUCUGUGUCUUCAUCUGUGUUUUUGUCUGUGGACCCCCCAAAAAACCCUCCACCCUCCUCUCUACGGGAGUUUGAAUGGGUCACGUGACUUCCUUCCUGUUGUUUUGACCCCGGGGUCAGUCUGCUUUCAUGUCAGUGUAUCCACCCUCCUCUGCUAAUUAAAUACAAUCUUAAAACCUCA
This is a long non-coding RNA of Pseudoliparis swirei, 1200 nucleotides long. RefSeq lists it as uncharacterized. Lineage: Eukaryota; Metazoa; Chordata; Actinopteri; Perciformes; Liparidae. The transcript is spliced from 3 exons. The record is from RefSeq and is a predicted model, not a curated record.